GCUGAGAUGUCCGAGCGGUCUAAGGAGCUGGAUUCAAGUGAACACAUCAAACACUUACGACAACAUACAGUCUGUACUUCCCAGUAGAGCAAUCUGCGGGGGUUCGAAUCCCCCUCUCAGCA
Molecule: transfer RNA, 122 nt
Organism: Puccinia graminis f. sp. tritici
Lineage: Eukaryota; Fungi; Basidiomycota; Pucciniomycetes; Pucciniales; Pucciniaceae
Rfam family: tRNA
About the family: Transfer RNA (tRNA) molecules are approximately 80 nucleotides in length. Their secondary structure includes four short double-helical elements and three loops (D, anti-codon, and T loops).
Source: Rfam